UUGAGGAGAGGGGACGAGAGAGGAAAACGAGAAAGAGGCAUCGAUCUAAAUCGAAACUUCAAAUCGUCAUUCCAAAUCGAAGCUCCAGGCGGCCGUGCUCCCAACUCUAACUCAAGGAAGACGGAUGUUUCUGGGUUUCAACUGAAACGGGUGCCGGUUCUUCGAUUUUCAUUCCGAUCGAGGAGGAUAAUUCCCAAGAAUAUUUUAGCCGUAGGGUGGGCUGAAUGGAUCCAGUGAAUGAAGAUCAGUUGGAUUUUGGAGAUGAGGAAUACACAGGGGCCUCAAAGAUGCAGUAUCAGGGUGGAGGAGCAAUUUCUGCUCUCGCAGAUGAUGAAAUGAUAGGAGAAGAUGACGAAUAUGAUGACCUCUAUAAUGAUGUUAAUGUCGGAGAUGGCUUCCUUCAGGUACAACAUUCUCAGGCUGGAGUGCCAUCUGGUGCUGUUGGUAAUGGAGGAUUCUAUGGGCAGAAGAGCGUCAUUCCUGAGCCCAGAGCGGAAUCUGGGGGAUCACAACAGUCUAACAUUCCACUAACAAAUGAAUUGAAGUAUCCAAAUCCUAAUAUUGAUUCUUCGGCUCAUAAGGGAGGAUUGACAGCUGAAAGAGGCCAAAUGGGAACUACUGAAAUUCCUCAACCAGGAAGAAAUCAGGAGGUGUCUCAUAGUAGUCAAAUUGGAAAUGUGCAGUUUCAAAGUUCAACACCUUUGCCUCCUAGAGUAGGGGGUGAUUCUUCAAGUUUAUCAGGAAAAGGUCCCAGUGAGCCUGCUGUGCUAAAUCCUAGUGUAGGGGGUCAUAUUGUUGCUCAUCAGAUGCCACCAAAUGCUGUGGGUAUGAAUGCUAAUCCUAAUGUGAUCCGCCCAAUUAACAAUGACCAGACCUAUCCUCCUGCAGAGAAUGGUGGGGCAAUGCUUUUUGUAGGAGAACUACAAUGGUGGACCACUGAUUCAGAACUUGAAACUGUAUUAUCUCAGUAUGGAAGUAUCAAGGAGAUAAAAAUUUUCGAUGAAAGAGCUAGUGGCAAAUCAAAAGGUUACUGUCAAGUCGAAUUCUAUGAUGCUUAUGCUGCAACUGCAUGCAAAGAAGGAAUGAAUGGCCAUGUAUUCAACGGACGAGCCUGUGUUGUGGCUUUUGCUUCUCCACAAACUAUCAAACAGAUGGCUAGUUCUUAUGCAAACACAAACCAAGCACAGCCAUCAGCUCAGACACAGGGAAGGAGGCCCCCGAUGAAUGAUGGAAUGGGAGUGGGAAUGGGGAGAGGCGGUGUGGUGAACCAACCUAUCAGUGAAGCUGGGAGGAACUUAGGAAGAGGAGGUGGAUGGGGACGUGGAGGGCCAGGAAUACUUAACAGAGGCCCCGGUGGUGGACCCAUUAGAGGAAGGGGGCCCAUGGGAAAUAAGAAUAUGAUGGGGAAUAAUAAUCUAUCUGGUGCUGGAGCAUUUGUGCAAAAUCUUGCUGGUCCUACUUUUAAUGGCCCUCCAGGUGGUUUGAUGCAUCAUCAGGGUAUUAUGGGAGGUGGAUUUGAUCCUACUUAUUUGGGAAGAGGAGCAGGUUAUGGGGGUUUUUCAGGUCCUCCUUUCCCAGGCAUGCUUCCUCCAUUUCCAGGUGUUAAUCAUCACAUGGGACUUGCAGGUGUUGCUCCACAUGUCAAUCCUGCUUUCUUUGCCCGAGGAAUGGCAGCUAAUGGACUAGGAAUGAUGGGGCAUAUGGGAAUGGAUGGACAACAUGCAGGGAUGUGGAAUGAUACAGGAAUGGGUGGUGGAUGGGGAGUAGGAGGUGGAGUAGGAGAAGAACAUGGGCAAAAAACUAGAGAAUCAAGUUAUGGUGGUGAAGAUGGUGCUUCUGAGUAUGGUGGGCAUGUAGAGGAAAUCCAGGAUAAAGGAGGCAGAAUAAGUGCUGCUCCCAGAGAAAAGGAAAGGAAUUCCAGUCGCGAUUGGCCAGGAAACUCUGAGAAAAGGCAUCGUAGCGAAAGGGAUCAUCAUGAAAGGGAUAGAUCUGACCGAGAUAUGAAAUACAAGGAGGAGAAGGAUGGUUAUCGUGAGAAUCGUCAGAGAGAACGUGACUUGGGCAAUGACGAAGAUUGGGAUAGAGGGCAGUCUUCAUCCAGAUCACGUAGCAGAUCCAAAGCAACGACGGAAGAUGAUUAUAGGCGUUCAAGGGACUCGAGGGAUUCAGAAUAUGGAAGACGAAAGCGCCGUCCAUCGGAGUGAUGGAAUCAAGUGUGAACUGUUUGUAUUACUUUGUGGACCAGUGAAUGAUGAGCUCUUGCUGAGGUUUCUUUCGCAAAAAGAUGAUUUAUAUUAUCCUACGCAGGGAGCGAGUUGGCAGUUAUAUAUAUUUGUGAUUGAAUCAACCUAUGCUGUUUAUUGGAAGGAAGAUGCUUAGUUUGCUGCUUUCCUUCAAUUAAUCUAUUUUCUAGGCUCACAUUGUACAUUGUUUUAUCCUGAUGUAAUUGGCCCCUCUACCGCUGGACAUUUUUGUCUGUAAGCGUGUAUGUAAAUAUGUUGUGCAGUCAUGUGGCCAAUUCUUGUCAAUGUUUUGCAGUAUUAACUUAGAAAAGUUAGGACUAGUUUUAUGUUGUAUCACCCUUGUUCUAAUUGUAAGGGGAUGUACAUGUAAUUGAACUCCCAUUUACCGGUCAAUUUUGUCUCACCAUCAUGUAUAUCUUGUAUGUAACCUUUUGGUCAAAGAAUGACUUCAUUAUUUC
Molecule: RNA transcript, 2701 nt
Organism: Impatiens glandulifera
Lineage: Eukaryota; Viridiplantae; Streptophyta; Magnoliopsida; Ericales; Balsaminaceae
Gene name: cleavage and polyadenylation specificity factor subunit 6
Exons: 3
Source: RefSeq, a predicted model, not a curated record